CCCCUAGACGUUCUGGGCUGCACGCGCGCUACAAUAAUACGCACAGCGAGUAUCACCGAGCUCGAAAGGGCAAGGUAAACAAUAGAAAAGGUACUGUAAUGGUUAUAGAUCCUUGUAAUUAUUGAUCUUCAACGAGGAAUUCCUAGUAAGUAUGUGUCAUCAUCACGCACUGAUUACGUCCCUGCCCUUUGUACACACCGCCCGUCGCUCCUACCGAUUGAAUGCUCAGGUGAGCCAUUCGGACUUUCAUCAUGCUGGUUUCCAGUUUUGAUGAAGGAAGGUCUUGCGAACCUUAUCAUUUAGAGGAAGGAGAAGUCGUAACA
RNAcentral lists this ribosomal RNA (323 nucleotides) under uncultured eukaryote. RNAcentral describes it as "partial 18S ribosomal RNA". It matches the Rfam family "Eukaryotic small subunit ribosomal RNA", at positions 1470 to 1796 of the family's 1831-position model. The record is from RNAcentral.